GCCGGGAUAGCUCAGUUGGUAGAGCAACUGAUUCGUAAUCAGUAGGUCAGAGGUUCGAUUCCUCUUUCCGGCA
Molecule: transfer RNA, 73 nt
Filed under: Gammaproteobacteria bacterium
Lineage: Bacteria; Pseudomonadati; Pseudomonadota; Gammaproteobacteria
Description: tRNA-Thr
Rfam family: tRNA
About the family: Transfer RNA (tRNA) molecules are approximately 80 nucleotides in length. Their secondary structure includes four short double-helical elements and three loops (D, anti-codon, and T loops).
Source: RNAcentral